ACACAGCUCUCCGGUUCUGACGGUGAAAGUUCGAGGACGACUGAAGGUGAUUGCAUUGGCAUCUGCAGUGGGUGUUUCUGUCGGAUUGAUCUCACUGACCGUGGUUGUCAUGAUCAGUAAAAACAUGCAUCGCGUGGACACUGAAAAUCUUGAGGAAGAAAAACAGUGUUCACCAAUAGUUGACUUGCCAGUGGACAAGACUCUGUUUAGUGAAUCAACUUCAGAGACGUUUCUCCUCAAGGGCACAAAAAUGUCAGACA
Molecule: long non-coding RNA, 260 nt
Organism: Sinocyclocheilus anshuiensis
Lineage: Eukaryota; Metazoa; Chordata; Actinopteri; Cypriniformes; Cyprinidae
Exons: 4
Source: RefSeq, a predicted model, not a curated record